CUGAGGGGGACAGGUCCCUGGGGAAGCAGAGGGCCUGAGGCAUGGACCAGGAUGACCUGGGCUACCUACAUGGAAACCUCUUUCUCCUGCCAGGAGAGCCCUGGAACUGAGCCUGGCUCUGGUAAAUAGCUCCAACGUGCGAGCCAUGAUGCAAGAGCUGCAGGCCUUUCUGGAGUCCUGCCCUCCUGACCUACGGGCUGACUGUGCCUCAGGCAUCCUGCUGGCUGCAGAGAGGUGAGGUGCCCAGGAGUCAAAGAGGGUAGAAUCUGGGGAGGGUCAGUACCAGGACUGAUGAGCCAUAUAUCCCCUAGGUUUGCUCCAACCAAACGCUGGCACAUAGACACCAUCCUGCAUGUGCUGACAACGGUGAGGCAGGGGCCAGUCAGAGAGCUGGGCAGAAGUGGUCAGGAUUCACCACACUGACUUGGCCAUGCCCACACCUUCCAGGCGGGCACCCACGUGCGGGAUGAUGCAGUGGCCAACCUGACCCAGCUGAUUGGGGGGGCCCAGGAGCUACAUGCCUACUCUGUGCGCCGCCUCUACAAUGCCCUGGCAGAAAACAUUUCCCAGGUACCAUUCCCACCUACCUAGGCCCAGGGCUGCCCAACCACUCCCUUGCCCAUCCUGGGCCACCUCCUCCCUACACUAGAUUCCAAUUUUUCUCUCAAGGUCACAGCUACUUACAUAGUGCAGAGGACAUCCGAGCACAGAGCCCUGUUUUUAAGAACAUCUGGGCUUUUGUCCUGACUCUGGUACCUCCUGGUUAUGUAACUACAGAUGACUAACUUCCCUUAUGCUCCAUGUACCCUGACUGCCUCUUAGAAAUGCCUUGAGAUUAAAGCUCCUGUGUUUAUGAGGUUUUAUUAUUACCUUGAAUGCUGAAUGAAUUAACAAGGCCAGCCAGUAUCUAUAGCCCCCUUUUCCAUCUUAAUUAAAUAGGGUGGGCAGAAAGCAUCCACCCCUUCCACAAGGGAGGGACCCUCUCACAUUUCCAUUCUGUGGUUAGGCCAUGUAGUUCUGAUGCUUGGCCACCAGAGGGCAGUGGGAGCCAGGUAACAAACUUCCCUUUCCCCACCCCUCCAACCCCCCACCAUCUUUGCACUGCCUAAAGGGAUAUUGCCAGGUCUGGAAGUGAGGAGGGGACCUCAGACACUGGCCCAGCAGUGUUUCUUUCUUUCUCUCUCUCUUUUUUUUUUUUUUUAAUAGAGAUGGGGGGGUCUCGCUCUGUUGCCCAGGCUGGUCUUGAACUCCUGGUCUCAAGCGAUCCUCCCGCCUCAGCCUCCCAAUGUGCUGGGAUUACAGGCGUGAGCCACCAUGCCCGGCCAGCCCAGCAGUUUCUUAUCCCAUGUAGCAACCACUGGUGCAGGUGGCAGCCUGGUGCAUUGGGGAGUAUGGGGACCUCCUGCUGGCGGGGAACUGCGAGGAGAUUGAGCCCCUUCAGGUGGACGAAGAGGAAGUGCUGGCAUUGCUGGAAAAGGUGCUGCAGUCCCAUAUGUCCCUGCCAGCCACUCGAGGAUAUGCCCUCACGGCCCUCAUGAAGCUCAGCACUCGCCUCUGUGGGGACAACAAGUAAGAAGGGGUCCCAGCCCCUUGAGAGAUGGCCUGUCACUGGGCCCACCCAUUUCUGAGUUUCUUUCCAGGCAUACAUACCCAGCCCUCCCUACCCCCCAGCCCUUAGGUUCUUGUUUUUGAGCCAAAUCUGGGUAUUUCCCUGCUCCGUGGGCCUUUCCUUCCUGCCACAUCCUGCAGUGGCACACUGCCAUUGCCACUUACAUACUACACUGGCCCAGCCGCAUCCGCCAGGUGGUGUCCAUCUACGGGAGCUGCUUGGACGUGGAGCUGCAGCAGCGGGCUGUGGAGUAUGACACACUCUUCCGGAAAUACGACCACAUGAGGUGUGUCCAGCACUGUGCUGCAGCAUGGGACCCAAACCCCUGCCCUCUCCCAAAUGCCCUUUUCUAGGUACAAGGGCCUCAUCCUCACCUGUGUUCUUCCACAUCCACGGUGAGAGCUUCCCACCCACUGUUAAUUGAAGCUAAGCUGGCUUCCAACCCUCCUUGUUCAUCUGAAAAUCAGCAACAACAUGUCAUUUUAGGAAAUCAGAAGGGUACUUCUGAGUCACCAUGUGCCCAGGGGUCCAUGUUCCUAGUCCUCAUCCUAGAUGCCUCUUGUGAAAGGCCCAGAGACCACAGAGAGGCACACUUGCAUUCCAUCCUCUCAGGGCUGCCAUCCUGGAAAAAAUGCCUCUUGUGGAGCGAGAUGGCCCUCAGGCUGAUGAGGAAGCAAAGGAAAGCAAAGAAGCAGCCCAGCUUUCAGAAGCAGCUCCAGUGCCCACAGAGCCCCAGGUGAGAAGGCUAGAAACUCUGGGGUAGGAAGACAGGCUGAGCUUCAUACCCAGCCCUGCCCCUUCUGUCCCUUCUGCCAGGCCUCACAGCUCCUGGAUCUGCUAGAUCUCCUGGAUGGGACUUCUGGGGAUGUCCAGCAUCCUCCCCCUCUGGACCCAUCCCCAGGAGGUGCCCUGGUACACCUGCUUGACCUUCCCUGUGCACCUCCAUCCCCAGCUCCCAUCCCAGAUCUCAAAGUGUUUGAGCGUGAGGGAGUACAGCUGAAUCUGUCUUUCAUUCGACCCCCUGAAAACCCUGCUUUGCUGUUAAUCACCGUCACUGCCACCAACUUCUCAGAGGGUGAUGUCACCCAUUUCAUCUGCCAGGCUGCUGUGCCCAAGAGUCUCCAGCUGCAGCUGCAGGCCCCCAGUGGGAACACAGUUCCAGCUCGGGGUGGCCUUCCUAUCACCCAGCUCUUCAGAAUCCUCAAUCCUAACAAGGCCCCCCUACGACUAAAGCUGCGCCUCACCUACAACCACUUUCACCAGUCGGUGCAGGAGAUCUUUGAGGUGAACAACUUGCCUGUGGAAUCGUGGCAGUAACUGUCUCCACUCACAGCCUGAAAUUCUCCUGUGUCCCAAACCCCAGGGGGCCCCAGCAGCUUCGAACCUACACCUGAGGGCUACCAGCAGGUGGCGCUCUGGCUUUGCACUGCAAAAACUGGGGACCAGCCCCUUUCUCCCACAAAUAAAGCCCAAUAAAGCCUGAGAGGGGAGGAAAGCC
This 3107-nucleotide small RNA is filed under the name Pongo abelii (Sumatran orangutan). RNAcentral's name for it is "retained intron". Lineage: Eukaryota; Metazoa; Chordata; Mammalia; Primates; Hominidae. The record is from RNAcentral.